GACGAACCGUGCGAACGUUAUUCGGAAUCACUGGGCUUAAAGCGCGUGUAGGCGGGACGGCACGUCGGUCGCUGAAAGCCCCCCGGCUCAACCGGGGAAGUGGCGCCGAUACGACCGCCCUGGAGGAACGUAGGGGGACCUGGAACUUCCGGUGGAGCGGUGAAAUGCGUUGAGAUCGGAAGGAACGCCCGUGGCGAAAGCGAGGUCCUGGACGUUUACUGACGCUGAGACGCGAAAAGCCAGGGGAGCCGAACGGG
RNAcentral lists this ribosomal RNA (257 nucleotides) under uncultured bacterium. RNAcentral's name for it is "partial 16S ribosomal RNA". It matches the Rfam family "Bacterial small subunit ribosomal RNA", at positions 524 to 776 of the family's 1533-position model. The record is from RNAcentral.